ACUCUCUGCUCUCUCUGUUGUAAAGGAGAAAAAACAGAAAAUAUAAAGAAAAAGAGAAGCUUUUUCUCUUCGUCUUCCCCCCUUCGCCGCUACCCUUCGUUCCAUCUCCUUUCGCCGCCACGUCUCCACCCGACGACCACCACAACACACUCCUCCUCUCUUCAUUUUUUCCGCCUCUUAACGUAAACACACCCACGCCAUCGUAAAACUAUCCAUCCUCAUCGUGACCGUCUCAAUCACAGCUGUUCACCUCCAUCCACCGCGCGAUUCACCCUCACAACGACCAUCACGCUAACUCUGUCAUCUUUACAACUCCGUCGCGAAUCCAAUGCCACCACUUCCGGAAAACGAAACACAAACCCCUUCCGCCAUCGAUACGACCGCUACUUCCUCCAAGCACAUUCACCGGCGACCACCACCGGCACUCCCCUACGCCGUGCGAAACCCACUCCGACCACCACACGGCGGAACCUCCAUCAAAUCUCAACCACUUCUCUUUCCGUCUUCGAUCUAACGCCUUGAAAUACUCACUUCUGGUUGGAACUGACUUCUGACGCAGAUCCAACAAAUCUUCAAUCACCGUCGUCACAACUCCGAAAUUAAUUUGCUCGCCAAAUUCAUACAUUCCGUUAUAUGAACUCUUACUAAGACUGUUGUCCGUCUCUUUGAACAUACAACAACCAUCCUUCAUGUGACCGCAGGCGGGGAAGCGAUUCGAGUUCACUGUCAUGGUUAAACAACACAGAGGUCAUUUGAAUUGACCCAAUCAAGUUUUAGCAGAAGUGGGUUCGGACUUGAUAAUGAAGGGAAUUUCAGACUUCGGAAAUAACUCGCAUCAUCCGUCGACGAGUUCAUCCAGCUUAGCUUGCGGUAAAUCUUCUUUUUGUCAUUUGAAUCCCAUUUGUUGGUUGCUGCCCGGGUUUUAUUCUGAACUCAAUUUGUCAUAUUUGUGUCAUUUUUGCAUCUUGGUUAUCAAUCUACUAUGUGCAAAAUUUUGGCUAUGUCAUGAUCACAAGUUUUAGUCGGCAGUAUUUAUUUUUCAGAUUGUCCAUUGGAAAUUUUUCUUAAGUAUAGAAAGAUUAUUUAUGUUGUU
Molecule: long non-coding RNA, 1093 nt
Organism: Lathyrus oleraceus (garden pea)
Lineage: Eukaryota; Viridiplantae; Streptophyta; Magnoliopsida; Fabales; Fabaceae
Exons: 2
Source: RefSeq, a predicted model, not a curated record